Long non-coding RNA from Nothoprocta perdicaria, 448 nucleotides. RefSeq lists it as uncharacterized. Lineage: Eukaryota; Metazoa; Chordata; Aves; Tinamiformes; Tinamidae. The record is from RefSeq and is a predicted model, not a curated record. The transcript has 2 exons.
AGAAAUGAUUUCGGAGCCUGGGAUUUCGGGAGGCUGCCUCCAUGGAGCCUAUCGGUAAGAUGAUCCUCAGGGGAGUAUCUGCUGCAGUGGAGGAUCAUCUGGGAAAGGAAACUGUGAAAGAUGGAUAGAGUUUUGAUGAAGACUAAGAACUGCACGGUGAAAGAGGCCUUGUCUUGUGAUCUUGAUCUAUGAUGUAGAGUACUGAAGAGAAAGAAAAACUGGUCGUUUGUUUUGGGCAAAUGAAUAUAGAAUUGUAAAAUGUGGAACUAUAGCAGCUGAAUGCUGUGGGACUACAUUCUGUCUUUGCCUCUAGCACAGAAUUCCUGUGUAAUAUUUGUCAAGACAUUUACCCACAGAGCUUAUACAAAUGUUCCCUUGCUUUUAAAGGCACUUUUUUGAGACCAUGGGAUCUGAUCUGUGGUGAACUGAACUUGAAAGUAAUGAUCCC